RNAcentral lists this ribosomal RNA (468 nucleotides) under uncultured bacterium. RNAcentral's name for it is "partial 16S ribosomal RNA". It matches the Rfam family "Bacterial small subunit ribosomal RNA", at positions 28 to 507 of the family's 1533-position model. The record is from RNAcentral.
GACGAACGCUGGCGGCGUGCUUAACACAUGCAAGUCGAACGGAAAGGCCCUGCUUUUGUGGGGUGCUCGAGUGGCGAACGGGUGAGUAACACGUGAGUAACCUGCCCUUGACUUUGGGAUAACUUCAGGAAACUGGGGCUAAUACCGGAUAGGAGCUCCUGCUGCAUGGUGGGGGUUGGAAAGUUUCGGCGGUUGGGGAUGGACUCGCGGCUUAUCAGCUUGUUGGUGGGGUAGUGGCUUACCAAGGCUUUGACGGGUAGCCGGCCUGAGAGGGUGACCGGCCACAUUGGGACUGAGAGACGGCCCAGACGCCUACGGGAGGCAGCAGUGGGGAAUAUGGCACAAUGGGCGGAAGCCUGAGGCAGCAACGCCGCGUGCGGGAUGACGGCCUUCGGGGUGUAAACCGCUUUCGCCUGUGACGAAGCGUGAGUGACGGUAAUGGGUAAAGAAGCACCGGCUAACUACGUG